RNAcentral lists this ribosomal RNA (467 nucleotides) under uncultured bacterium. RNAcentral's name for it is "partial 16S ribosomal RNA". It matches the Rfam family "Bacterial small subunit ribosomal RNA", at positions 28 to 507 of the family's 1533-position model. The record is from RNAcentral.
GACGAACGCUGGCGGCGUGCUUAACACAUGCAAGUCGAACGGAAAGGCCUCUUUCGGGGGGUACUCGAGUGGCGAACGGGUGAGUAACACGUGAGUAACCUGCCCUUGACUUUGGGAUAACUUCAGGAAACUGGGGCUAAUACCGGAUAGGAGCUCCUGCUGCAUGGUGGGGGUUGGAAAGUUUCGGCGGUUGGGGAUGGACUCGCGGCUUAUCAGCUUGUUGGUGGGGUAGUGGCUUACCAAGGCUUUGACGGGUAGCCGGCCUGAGAGGGUGACCGGCCACAUUGGGACUGAGAUACGGCCCAGACUCCUACGGGAGGCAGCAGUGGGGAAUAUUGCACAAUGGGUGGAAGCCUGAUGCAGCAACGCCGUGUGCGGGAUGACGGCCUUCUGGUUGUAAACCGCUUUCGCUCAUGACGAAGCUUUGUGUGACGGUAGUGGGUAAAGAAGCACCGGCUAACUACGUG